Molecule: long non-coding RNA, 1249 nt
Filed under: Anser cygnoides (Swan goose)
Lineage: Eukaryota; Metazoa; Chordata; Aves; Anseriformes; Anatidae
Description: lncRNA (ENSACDG00005005630.1)
Source: RNAcentral
ACCAAAUGCACCAGUACACUGCAUGCAUGGGUAAUUGCCAUCAGACACUGAUAAGCAGAGCUAGUGUUAUCUUUGAACGCUGGUGGUUCAGGGCUGCAUCAGCUCUGAGUUCUGUUUCAUCUUCAGAUGCACAAUGAAGUAUAUAAAACAGUCAGGGAAAAAAACACAAAUGUUUUGAAACCGAGGUUAUUUUUUCCAGCUGGUUUCCCUUCGCAGUGAAAGGGAGACGGCUGUUUUCCUCCUCCGUGCUGCGAGCGCGCCCUCCUUUCCUCCAGAGGUUAGGGUGCUGCCGCAGACACAGCUGAGGUGGAUUUAUGUCUCGCUGUGUGAAUGUGUCUUUUCUGAUUUUUUUUCACUCUUUCCUCCGUGUUUUCUUUCUCCGUGGUUCCUGAGGUGUUGUGUAAGCUUGGUGGUAAAGAAACAGACUGGAGGGCACUGAGUGGCGCCGACCGGGCCUGCAAAGCCGGCAGCAGUCCGGUCCGAGCAGGUGAGCGCCUGGCAGCUCGGCCUUCACAGCGCAGAUGUACGCCGUGUAGGUGCAGGGGCACCGCAGAGGGCAAAGAAGCACGAAAGGCUUAAUUUUGCAUUCUUCACUGAAACAAACCAAACCAAACAAAAACUUAUUUUCCCUCCCGCUGGAAGGCUCUCCGGUUUUCCAUGGGUGUAGCAGAAAGCCCUGGCGGUGACUGCUCGGCAGCCCCUGGAGGGAUCCCGUGGGGUCUGGAGACAGGACACCCCACGAGCUGCCCGGCCGCCCUGCUCCGGCCGUGCCGGCGGCUCGGCAGGGGCCUGGUGGGCUCUGGGCUCCCGGCAAAGUCCUCCUGGGGCUCCCCGGCAGCGGCCGCGUGGGAAAGGCCCCGCGCGUUGUGUCAUGGGCAGGCCGGGCCCACCAGCAGGGCCGGCCGCCGCAGUACCCCGCUCCUGGCAGCAGCUGCGCGGAUUCCCUCAGUGGAGGAGAGAGUCAUGAUGCUCGUAUCUCUCAGACAUUUCGUUCCUUGCGACGGAGCUCGGUGAACCAGAUGAGGAGACGGUGCGCGUUCAGACACCCCUGUCAGCUGGGUCGCGGCGGGGGUUCGGUCCGGAUCCUGAGCGAGAGGAGGAGCAGGGCACGGCGGCACUCACACGUCUCUGGACAGUGAAAAUCGCCGUCUGUUCCCCGCAGUCUGUUAACAGGAAAGUGAACUGAGAGCGUACCGUCCCCUUCAGCUGUGUCUUCUGUGGGAAUAAAUAACGUACGUGGUGUUGGACA